This 99-nucleotide transfer RNA is filed under the name Bacteroidaceae bacterium. Its description in RNAcentral is "tRNA-Gly". It matches the Rfam family "tRNA". Rfam says of the family: Transfer RNA (tRNA) molecules are approximately 80 nucleotides in length. Their secondary structure includes four short double-helical elements and three loops (D, anti-codon, and T loops). Further hydrogen bonds mediate the characteristic L-shaped molecular structure. tRNAs have two regions of fundamental functional importance: the anti-codon, which is responsible for specific mRNA codon recognition, and the 3' end, to which the tRNAs corresponding amino acid is attached (by aminoacyl-tRNA synthetases). tRNAs cope with the degeneracy of the genetic code in two manners: having more than one tRNA (with a specific anti-codon) for a particular amino acid; and 'wobble' base-pairing, i.e. permitting non-standard base-pairing at the 3rd anti-codon position. The record is from RNAcentral. Lineage: Bacteria; Pseudomonadati; Bacteroidota; Bacteroidia; Bacteroidales; Bacteroidaceae.
GCGGAAGUAGCUCAGUUGGUUAUCUCAAUUCCGCAGGAAUUGAGUACAAUUAGCCUUCCAAGCUGAGGGUCGCGGGUUUGAGCCCCGUCUUCCGCUCCA